This 505-nucleotide ribosomal RNA is filed under the name bacterium KWD-1-16. RNAcentral's name for it is "bacterial SSU rRNA". It matches the Rfam family "Bacterial small subunit ribosomal RNA", at positions 382 to 879 of the family's 1533-position model. RNAcentral also lists the same sequence under 1 other name. The record is from RNAcentral.
CCUGAUGCAGCCAUGCCGCGUGUAUGAAGAAGGCCUUCGGGUUGUAAAGUACUUUCAGUUGUGAGGAAGGGUGUGUAGUUAAUAGCUGCGCAUCUUGACGUUAGCAACAGAAGAAGCACCGGCUAACUCCGUGCCAGCAGCCGCGGUAAUACGGAGGGUGCGAGCGUUAAUCGGAAUUACUGGGCGUAAAGCGCAUGCAGGUGGUUCAUUAAGUCAGAUGUGAAAGCCCGGGGCUCAACCUCGGAACUGCAUUUGAAACUGGUGAACUAGAGUACUGUAGAGGGGGGUAGAAUUUCAGGUGUAGCGGUGAAAUGCGUAGAGAUCUGAAGGAAUACCAGUGGCGAAGGCGGCCCCCUGGACAGACACUGACACUCAGAUGCGAAAGCGUGGGGAGCAAACAGGAUUAGAUACCCUGGUAGUCCACGCCGUAAACGAUGUCUACUUGGAGGUUGUGGCCUUGAGCCGUGGCUUUCGGAGCUAACGCGUUAAGUAGACCGCCUGGGGA